AAAAAAUUAGUUUAAAAAAAACCUUAGUAUGUCAAACUAAAAAUAUUAGUUUAAUCCAAUAUUUUUUA
This 68-nucleotide transfer RNA is filed under the name Chagasia sp. 1 SJ-2020. RNAcentral describes it as "tRNA-Asp". It matches the Rfam family "tRNA". From Rfam's summary of the family: Transfer RNA (tRNA) molecules are approximately 80 nucleotides in length. Their secondary structure includes four short double-helical elements and three loops (D, anti-codon, and T loops). Further hydrogen bonds mediate the characteristic L-shaped molecular structure. tRNAs have two regions of fundamental functional importance: the anti-codon, which is responsible for specific mRNA codon recognition, and the 3' end, to which the tRNAs corresponding amino acid is attached (by aminoacyl-tRNA synthetases). tRNAs cope with the degeneracy of the genetic code in two manners: having more than one tRNA (with a specific anti-codon) for a particular amino acid; and 'wobble' base-pairing, i.e. permitting non-standard base-pairing at the 3rd anti-codon position. Lineage: Eukaryota; Metazoa; Arthropoda; Insecta; Diptera; Culicidae. The record is from RNAcentral.